AUGAUCUCGGUGAAAUUGUAGUAUCGGUGAAGAUGCCGGUUACCCGCAGUGGGACGAAAAGACCCCGUGCACCUUUACUAUAGCUUCGUAUUGACCUUGGUCAAACAAUGUGUAGGAUAGCUGGGAGGCUUUGAAUCUGCGUCGCCAGGCGUGGAGGAGCCGUUGUUGAAAUACCAGCCUUUGUUUGAUCGGGGCCUAACCCCUAACGGGGGACAGUGCGUGGUGGGUAGUUUGACUGGGGUGGUCGCCUCC
This 252-nucleotide ribosomal RNA is filed under the name Oxyrrhis marina. RNAcentral describes it as "partial Bacterial large subunit ribosomal RNA". It matches the Rfam family "Bacterial large subunit ribosomal RNA", at positions 2027 to 2290 of the family's 2925-position model. The record is from RNAcentral. Lineage: Eukaryota; Dinophyceae; Oxyrrhinales; Oxyrrhinaceae.